Molecule: ribosomal RNA, 482 nt
Filed under: uncultured bacterium
Lineage: Bacteria
Description: partial 16S ribosomal RNA
Rfam family: Bacterial small subunit ribosomal RNA
Source: RNAcentral
AUUGAACGCUGGCGGCAUGCCUUACACAUGCAAGUCGAACGGUAACGGGCCUUCGGGUGCCGACGAGUGGCGAACGGGUGGGUAAUACAUCGGAACGUGCCCGAUCGUGGGGGGUAACGAGGCGAAAGCUUUGCUAAUACCGCAUACGAUCUACGGAUGAAAGCGGGGGACCGCAAGGCCUUGCGCGGGCGGAGCGGCCGAUGGCAGAUUAGGUAGUUGGUGGGAUAAAAGCUUACCAAGCCGACGAUCUGUAGCUGGUCUGAGAGGAUGAUCAGCCACACUGGGACUGAGACACGGCCCAGACUCCUACGGGAGGCAGCAGUGGGGAAUGUUGGACAAAGGGCGCAAGCCUGAUCCAGCCAUGCCGCGUGCAGGAUGAAGGCCUUCGGGUUGUAAACUGCUUUUGUACGGAACGAAAAGCCUUCUUUUAAUACAGGAGGGUCAUGACGGUACCGUAAGAAUAAGCACCGGCUAACUACGUG